RNAcentral lists this ribosomal RNA (119 nucleotides) under Hucho hucho (huchen). Lineage: Eukaryota; Metazoa; Chordata; Actinopteri; Salmoniformes; Salmonidae. The record is from RNAcentral.
ACUUACGGCCAUACCAUCCUGAAUACGCCCGAUCUCGUCUGAUCUCGGAAACUAAGCAGGGUCGGUCCUGGUUAGUACUUAGAUGGGAGACUACCUGGGAAUACCAGGUGCUGUAAGUG